GACGAACGCUGGCGGCGUGCUUAACACAUGCAAGUCGAACGGAAAGACCCUGCUUUUGUGGGGUGCUCGAGUGGCGAACGGGUGAGUAACACGUGAGUAACCUGCCCUUGACUUUAGGAUAACUUCAGGAAACUGGGGCUAAUACCGGAUAGGAGCUCCUGCUGCAUGGUGGGGGUUGGAAAGUUUCGGCGGUUGGGGAUGGACUCGCGGCUUAUCAGCUUGUUGGUGGGGUAGUGGCUUACCAAGGCUUUGACGGGUAGCCGGCCUGAGAGGGUGACCGGCCACAUUGGGACUGAGAUACGGCCCAGACUCCUACGGGAGGCAGCAGUGGGGAAUAUUGCACAAUGGGCGGAAGCCUGAUGCAGCAACGCCGCGUGCGGGAUGACGGCCUUCGGGUUGUAAACCGCUUUCGCCUGUGACGAAGCGUGAGUGACGGUAAUGGGUAAAGAAGCACCGGCUAACUACGUG
This 468-nucleotide ribosomal RNA is filed under the name uncultured bacterium. Its description in RNAcentral is "partial 16S ribosomal RNA". It matches the Rfam family "Bacterial small subunit ribosomal RNA", at positions 28 to 507 of the family's 1533-position model. The record is from RNAcentral.